Molecule: transfer RNA, 70 nt
Filed under: fish gut metagenome
Rfam family: tRNA
About the family: Transfer RNA (tRNA) molecules are approximately 80 nucleotides in length. Their secondary structure includes four short double-helical elements and three loops (D, anti-codon, and T loops).
Source: RNAcentral
CGACUUAGCUCAAUUGGCAGAGCAACUGACUUGUAAUCAGUAGGUUGUAGGUUCAACUCCUAUAGUCGGC